UCGGGAAUAUUGCACAAUGGAGGAAACUCUGAUGCAGUGACGCCGCGUGCAGGAAGAAGGUUUUCGGAUUGUAAACUGCUUUAGAUGGGGAAGAAAAAAGACUGUACCCAUAGAAUAAGCUCCGGCUAACUACGUGCCAGCAGCCGCGGUAAUACGUAGGGAGCAAGCGUUAUCCGGAUUUAUUGGGUGUAAAGGGUGCGUAGACGGGAAUUUAAGUUAGUUGUGAAAUCCCUCGGCUUAACUGAGGAACUGCAACUAAAACUGAAUUUCUUGAGUGCGGGAGAGGAAAGUGGAAUUCCUAGUGUAGCGGUGAAAUGCGUAGAUAUUAGGAGGAACACCAGUGGCGAAGGCGACUUUCUGGACCGUAACUGACGUUGAGGCACGAAAGUGUGGGGAGCAAACAGG
Molecule: ribosomal RNA, 405 nt
Filed under: uncultured bacterium
Lineage: Bacteria
Description: bacterial SSU rRNA
Rfam family: Bacterial small subunit ribosomal RNA
Source: RNAcentral